This 1441-nucleotide ribosomal RNA is filed under the name metagenome. RNAcentral's name for it is "bacterial SSU rRNA". It matches the Rfam family "Archaeal small subunit ribosomal RNA". The record is from RNAcentral.
UUCCAUUGAUCCUGUGGAAGGAUGCUGCUAUCAGAGUUCGGUUAAGCCAUGCAGGUCCUGGGGUCGCAAGACACCGGCAGGCUGCUCAGUAACACGUAGAUAACCUACCUUAUGGUCCGGGAUAGCCUUGAGAAAUUGAGGGUAAAAUCGGAUAGGAGGCUUUGUCUGGAACGAAUCGCCUUUCAAAAGCAAUGCCAUAAGACGGGUCUGCGGCCGAUUAGGUUGUUGGCGGGGUAACGGCCCACCAAGCCUUUGAUCGGUAAGGGCCUUGAGAGAGGUUGCCCUGAGAGGGACACUGAGAUACUGGUCCCAGCCCUACGGGGUGCAGCAGGCGCGAGAACUUUACAAUGCACGAAAGUGUGAUAGGGGAACUCUGAGUGCUCAUACACUAGUAUGGGCUUUUGUCGAGGGUAAAUACCUUGAUGAAUAAGUGGUGGGCAAGACUGGUGCCAGCCGCCGCGGUAACCCCAGCGCCACAAGUGGCAUCCGCAUUUAUUGGGCCUAAAGCGUCCGUAGCCGGCUUUGUAAAUCUCUUGUGAAAGGGUAGCGCUUCACGUUGCCAAGGGCAGGAGACACUGCAAAGCUUGGGAUUGGGAGGGGUACGGGGUAUGGGUAGGGAAGCGGUAAAAUGUUAUAAUCCUGCCUAGACCACCAGUGGCGAAGGCGCCGUACCAGAACAAAUCCGACGGUGAGAGACGAAAGCUAGGGGAGCGAUCCGGAUUAGAUACCCGAGUAGUCCUAGCUGUAAACGCUGCGAGCUAGGUGUCGCGCAAUCUCCAUGAUUGCGCGGUGUCGGAGCGCGAAGGCAUUAAGCUCGCCGCCUGGGAAGUAUAGUCGCAAGGCCGAAACUUAAAGGAAUUGGCGGGGGAGCACCACAAGGGGUGCGGCGUGCGGUUUAAUCCAACUCAACGCGGAAAACCUCACUAGGGUCGACGGCAGGAUGAAGGUCAGUCUGAAGGGCUUACCUGACGAGCCGAGAGGAGGUGCAUGGCCGUCGUCAGCUCGUGUCGUGGGAUGUCAUGUUAAGUCAUGCAACGAGCAAGACCUGUACCUGUAAUUGCCAACGGAGAAGCUUGCUUCAGACCGGGCACAUUAUAGGGACUGCCUUCGAAAGAAGGAGGAAGGCGCAGGCUACGGUAGGUCUGUAUGCCCCGAAUACUCUAGGCUACACGCGCGCAACAAUGGUAGGAACAAUGGGAUGCAACUCCGAAAGGAGAAGCUAAACCUCGAAAUCCUACCCUAGUUCAGAUUGAGGGCUGCAACUCGCCCUCACGACGAUGGAAUCCCUAGUAAUCAGAAGUAAGCAUCUUCCGGUGAAUAUGUCCCUGCUCCUUGCACACACCGCCCGUCAAACCAACCGAGCAGGGCUUAGAUGAGUUCUAGCAUACUUUGGUUAGCCCGAAUCUAAGCUCAGUGAGGUGGGUUAAGUCGUCACAAGGUA